GUCCAUGGCCAUGCUACCCUGAACAAGCCCAGUCCCAUGUGAUCUUGGAAGCUAAGUAGAGUUAGACCUGAUUAGUACUUGACGGGAGACCACCUAGGAAGACCAAGUGCUGUAGGCA
This 118-nucleotide ribosomal RNA is filed under the name Pteropus alecto (black flying fox). The record is from RNAcentral. Lineage: Eukaryota; Metazoa; Chordata; Mammalia; Chiroptera; Pteropodidae. RNAcentral also lists the same sequence under 1 other name.